GCAAACGCCACCAGCUCCUCGCCCUCCAUCAUGUUCUUGGUGGUGGUGCACCACAGCUGGCCACCUGGACAAAACAGAGAUAGAGGAGACAUUUAAAUACUUAUUCCGAGACAAGAGAAAGUUUUGCUGCGUGUACACGCUACUGGCGCUCCUAUCCAGAAACAAGGCAAACCUCAGCUGUGGUAAACUGUAGCCUACAGUGCUGUUGUCAGCUGGAACAUUGAGACAGGAGGCACUCUUCUCAUGCAGAAGCUGCUGGUGGAUGUUGUUGCUGCGAUGAUGCAGACACCUCAGACAUGGCAGAGCAGCGUAGACGCCAGUCUGCCUAUACAUCUUUGCAGGUUUGUCCCAUUGAGCACUCUAUUAGCUAUCCUUCUCUGCGGGUAGUGCUGCCUGUGUCCUGGUUGUGGCCGGUCGACAUGUGUUUACUGCGGCCCCUGCUGUGGCGGCAGGCUGGUCGGGGUCCCGUCCUGACCAAGCCCUGCUAAUGGGACCAGAAGACCCCUCGUGACAGGGCGCCGCUGUGGUGAGCACCGCAGCAAAUUCUACCCCUCCCUCCCCUCCAGCUGCGGCCUCAUGGCCCAUGUCCCCCUACCCAUCAUGCCUCGGCGGGAGCAGGUGAACGGCGGAGGGCCAACGCCGGUGAGCUUGGUUUUUCCUGGGAGAGCAGUGCGCCAUUGCCACGCGCCUCAGUGGUUCCUCCAACAUGGCUCCGGCCCUACGCCACAUGGGCUGGCUGGCCAUUCUGUGUGUCUGUGUGUUUUUAAGUGUGUGGGUGUGUGUGUGUGUGUGUGUGUGUAUGUGGGGGUGUAUGGUGGAUGCCAGCCCUAAUGCAAAUGCUUGCCGUUUAAAAAAUGGGAGCCUCUCUCCUCCUCUGUCUCUCCUCUUUGGAAAGGUCUAUUUUGGCCUUCUGGUGCUGGCAGUUAUUUUUUUCCUUUCCAGAAGGACAGAGAGCCAGGAAGAUGCACCUGUCAUCCAUUUUGAAAUUCAACAUUAUUGAUCUGGUCAUGAGGAAUGGAAUUUAUGAUGCUAUGUGUCUUUCUAAAUGAAUACUUAUUGAUUUGUGCCUUAAAACAUACAUAUUUCUCUUUUGCAAAGUGUUUCUGUGCCUUAUUUACGAGCAUGCUGAUUUGGUGUUUACAGCACAGCAAUACACAGAAAAAAAUAAACACUCACAGACACUCUCGCACUCUCACCACAAACACACACUUACACACAUGCAUAUACACUAGUCACCGGUGCAACAUCCCAGCAUGCCCUCUGUCUCUGCACCCCUGUAAUUCUACAUAUUGCUUAAAGUAUGUGCUAAUUAAAUUUUCUGUCGGUUUGCAAGAGAAAUAAAUAAUCUGCAGCUAAAAGGCCUAAUUGCGUUUGUCACAUUGUGUCUCGGUGGCUGGUACAUCGGGAGCACAGCCGCUGCCCUUGCUCAUUGCCAUUCUGUCGUCCUGGCAAGCCCCUGCGCUGCCCCAGGUAUCACCACGCGGCCAUCUGGAGCCGACAUCUGUCUCUCUAUUGAUCACAAGGGUUUAGCACUUGAUCAAACAGACUGCGACAGGAAAUUGCUCUUUUCCCCACAGAAAAGGCCAAUCGCCUGCGUGAGGGUAAUAGAGUGGAACUGAGAUGCAGCACCAGCGCGGUGGGCAGGCGGGCACGGGCACAGCCAGGCAGGCAGGCAGCGGCACGGCGGUGUCAGCCGCUGUGGAGGUGGCUGGGAAUGGCACAAGUGCUAAAGUCCACUGCCACGUUACCAAGACCAUGUUUAACCUAAUCUAACCUUUCUGUUUAUGCAACUGCAGCACUUCUAAUUUUACAGUAACACAAUCUUUCCAAAUUGUAAUUUACAAUCAUGCAAAUUUUGAGUUUUCCACUCUGAGCACAUCGUUGAGAACCAUGUGUAUGCAUGCUGAAGAUGAGACCAUCUCCUCUGAUUAAAAAAACUGUCAUUUGAA
Micropterus salmoides (largemouth bass) is the source of this 1949-nucleotide long non-coding RNA. RefSeq lists it as uncharacterized. The record is from RefSeq and is a predicted model, not a curated record. Lineage: Eukaryota; Metazoa; Chordata; Actinopteri; Centrarchiformes; Centrarchidae. The transcript is spliced from 4 exons.